This 346-nucleotide long non-coding RNA is filed under the name Rattus norvegicus (Norway rat). Its description in RNAcentral is "long non-coding RNA NONRATT010724". Lineage: Eukaryota; Metazoa; Chordata; Mammalia; Rodentia; Muridae. The record is from RNAcentral.
AUGAAAAUGCCAACGUCUGCUCUCCUGGGCGAUUGUGAUUAGUACUGUCUUGAGCAGUGUUUUAUAGAAAUGCACAGAUAUUAUGGACAUAAUUUCUCGCUCACUCAUUUUAUCCAUUGCCUGUCACCGUAUACAUUUUCUUUGUUCCAAGGUGGACUGAACAGGCAUAGGGUGAGAACUGGUAUAAGGCUGAGGGGUGUAGCCUUCCUUCAGGCUCAAUUCUCAUUGGUUGGGCUGGUAGAGGACUUGGUAUCCUACUUCCCUAGGUGGGCUCCUUGCUUUUUACAUGGGUGAUUGUUGCCAGGUAACUUAAGGAAGACAGAGACCAUGCCGGCCCAUAAUUACG